AAUCCCCCCACCCUGAGUUCAUGUCAUUGUGAAGUAAAUGCUGCAAAAGGAGACAUAGGCUCUUUAUGUUAACAUUGAGAGCUAAAGAUCCUUUAGGUUCGACCUAAACAAAGAACUUACUGUUUCCUACUCUUUGCUGGGGUUCUCUUGACUCUUUUCAUGGGAGUAUCACAGAAAAUCCACAGUAUUGUCGUGUUAGACUAUAUCCGUAGCAGGUCAAAGCUCCUGCUUGUGUAUUGAGGUGUGCAGAGAAUACCCCCAUCUGUUAAUGGGCUGUUUACUGUAAUGGAGGGGGAAAGGCGAUGGCCCCAGGUAUCAGCACUUGGUGGAUCAUAUGGGGACCCCCCCACCGCCUUUCACAUGCUCUUCCUACUCUCUGCCACACGGCUAAUAUUUAUUACAUCUAUUUUUUACACUAGGUAACUUCUUAAUCAGCCUGUCUUACUUAGAUUAUAUACAUCACUAUAUCUGACCCUCUUAUAACUACUGUGUGAGCAAUAAGCUUCCAAUUAGAAAUACUGCCUUAAAAAAAAAAAUACCAUGCUGAGAAGGGUGACCUAGAUCCUGCAUUAGUGGGUAUCACUUCUUUAAAACAAUUACAUUUUUAAUGAACUAAGGUGAAUAAAGGCACAACUAAAAAUUGUCUAAAAAGAAAAAAAAAUAGUAAGUCCAGUCCAGGGUAAUAGUGAAACUCAAAAGUCCCUACCAAUUUAAAACUCUUGCCUUGCCUGCAUCAGGCCUACUUGGGCUGAGAAAUCUGCAGUGGAGAGAGUAAUUUAGCUUUCAGAUUCUUCUGGAGUGUUUGUUUGACCUCCUUCCCGCCACUUGGACACUGUGUUGGGCACCCCUGGGGAUAAAGCACCCGAAGACUGGCAAUUAGAGGGAAGAAGCAGAAAACAUUUAAACUGAAAGGGGCAGCUGCACGCUUUUGAGGUGUCCCUGGGGCGUGAGGAAAAACUAGAGAUAGCCCUAUUGCACUGGAAUUCCUGGGGGAUCUUUGGAGAUCCCCUAUUGCUGCUGGCUUACCUGACCGUUUGGGGGACAAGUAAUACCUUUUCCGGGUAUCUGUUUGUGAGUCCCUACUAAGUUCCAGGUUCCCAGGGGGAGGUUCAUCAGUCCUUGGAAUCCCUCCCCAGACCCCAGCCUCCUACCAGGUUGUCUGUUUGGAUGGGGGUUCCUCUCGAAACGACCCAAUCCGGCUGCCUCCCCAUGUGGCCGGCCCACAGGAUGCCCGAGUCAUCCUUGCCCAGCCACACUGUGAAAGUGCAGGCUUCUCCCAAGCAACCCCUCUCCUCCUGCCACUGCUGCCAGGCAGGGCCACGGCCUCCUGGUGUUAGCUUCCCAGGCAGGAGGCCCAGGAUAGUUCCAAUGACUCUCGACCGUCAAGGCUACAAGUUCAACGUGUCCAAAUGUGGUGUUCUCUAAGCUCCUCUCAUUAGCUUAAAGUGAGUUGGAAACCACCACCACACCCUGUUUUGAGGAGCACAGUACCGUUCUGUAAGAAAAUCCUCACAGAAGGCUCUUCAACCUCCCAGUGACCCUUCGCCGUCUUUUUUAUAGUCUGAAUGGGUGAUGGGCUAAUGCUGGUAAAACUAUUUCACAAUCUCUUUCCCUGGCUGUGUGUAGGCGAUCCACUACCUUGCUUUGGAACGAGGGAGUACUUGGCACUUACUGCUGUUUUCCUCCAAAAUUGGGUCCUCUGCUGAGGUUUCAAGACAAAAAGAAGAGUCAAUUGUAACACCUCGUUAUACUUUAUGUUCUCAAUUCUUAGAUGACAUCUUUUGCAACACUGUCUAUGUAGUUAGAGGUUUUUUUGUUUUGUUUUUUGUUCGUUUUACUAUUACUCAACAGCUGGAAGAUCUCUGAACAAUUCCAUUUUUUUUUUUUUAAUGUAUGAAGAGUUUUGAGUGGCUGGGGAGAGAAAAGCAUACUGUGCUGUGUGUAUGACUGACAAGGAGAUGUACCUUCACUUCAGGCUCUCAGAGUCUCAGGGGGCGUUGCAGAAACAAAUGACUGCAAAGAUGGUGUUUCUAAACAACAGAACUUCGUUGUCUCAUGGUCCUGGAACCCAGAGGCCAAAAUCAAGAUGUCCUCAGGCUUGGUUCCUUCCAGAGGCUCUGAAGAAGAAACCACCCAGGCCUCUCUUCCAGUUGCUACUGGCUCCAGCAAGUUUGGACAUUUGGUGGCCGACGAUGUGAAUGAGAACGGGGAGUAGAGAACACGGAGUAGAGAAGCCUCAGUCCUGGAAGGAGGAGCAUGAGACAGCACGUGGAGGCCGACUCAGCGAGAGCCAACAGCUACUAGCAGGAGACUCCUCCCGAGUAAGCAGCAAUCGAUGUAAGCUGGUCCUCAGCCGUGCUCUGGAAACCCUGCUGGUACACACACAGACAUGCACACACACCACACACAUGCCAGGCAUACACACCUCCCACCCCAGCCCCCCCCACACCACAUGUGCCACACACACACUAUCCCCCCCCAACACAUACACCGCACUUUCACACAUACCACAAAACUGACUAUACCAUGACCCUGGGCUGGAGGUAAGGCCCGCGGACACUGACGGUGUGAUGAUGACAAGAAGAGAAAGUCUGGCUCCUUGGCCAAAGUGAAAUUCACACCGUGUGUGCCUUAAUAACUACCAAGAGGCCCUCCCCUCCCUGAUCUCCUGGCUUCCCAUUUAUUCCACAGUGUCCUAUAGUGAUCUUCCUAAAAAAUCAAAUCUGACUUCAGUGUCAGUCUGGUUUCAACCUGUCAGGAGCUUCUCAGAACCUUCAGAACAUAAUCCUGUCAAGUUCUAACCACACAGACUACUCGCGGUUUCCCUGAAUACUACAAGCACAUGCCGCCACCACACCCCUGCACACGCUGCUCCUUCAGCCUGGGGUUUGCUUCCAUUUUUUUUCACCCCUCACCCACACCAAACCUGCAUCUACUCAUCGUGAGCAGCUCUGUCCUUCAGGUGUCAAGGGAGGUGGGCCAUUUGGAUGAGCAGCACAGUGUGCCCCGACUGACCAUCAGCCUGCGAGUUGGUCCAAGGUCCCAGCAUCGUGGUGUGCACACUGUUCUGGGAAGCCCUCCCCGCACCAAAGGCUGGUUUCCUUGCAGCUGCCCUGUGCACACAUGUGCCUGACAUCCUGUGCACGUUACUACCAGCCCUCAUCCCGCUGUUCUGAAACUAUCUCCUCCAGGAGACCGUGGCCCCUCGAGAGCGGUCAUCUGGGCCUAUCUGUUGUGUUCAUAGUGCCUGGGACAAAGUCAGUGUUUCUUACGGUUAGCUGCCUGGAAAGGGAGCGAUAACCUCCCAGCUGCUUCCUUGUUCUCCACCAGGUAAGUUUCCUGUGGGGCAGCACUAGGGAGAAUUGCAGCCGGUCCCUGCGGCUCAGCUCCUUGGACUCCAGCAGUGGAGGGUGAGUCAGCGUAUCGACGUUCUGUGACCUUGAUCCAGCCCUAGACACCAGUGCCUACACCCACAAUUCCGGAUGACUGUGUCCCUUAAGAUAAUUACAGUGUGCUUUAAAAAAUUAUUAUUAUAGAGAUACUAAUUGUUUAUUAUAAAAAAUUAGGAAAACACAGAAAAGC
This is a long non-coding RNA of Ailuropoda melanoleuca (giant panda), 3582 nucleotides long. RefSeq lists it as uncharacterized. The transcript has 3 exons. NCBI's taxonomy places the organism in Eukaryota, Metazoa, Chordata, Mammalia, Carnivora, Ursidae. The record is from RefSeq and is a predicted model, not a curated record.